This is a long non-coding RNA of Melanotaenia boesemani (Boeseman's rainbowfish), 1287 nucleotides long. RefSeq lists it as uncharacterized. The transcript has 7 exons. Lineage: Eukaryota; Metazoa; Chordata; Actinopteri; Atheriniformes; Melanotaeniidae. The record is from RefSeq and is a predicted model, not a curated record.
AAUCGUUCAAUAGCUUCCAGGUCAUGUGACCCAUUGACAUUAGCUUUCUUUUAUGAUUUUGUAGGUCAAGUUUGACAACUAUGAAGCCCUUCUGUCAUUUCUGCUGGUGAACAACAACCACUGGAAGUUGCUGUAUAUCAAUACAGAAGCCAGUACAGUCUUCCUAAUGAAUCCUGCACAACUGUCAUCAGAACUUGAGGACUCCAAAAAGGCUGCUGGAAGAAUACAGGAAUACUUCAAGAUGAGAAGGACAUGCCAUGGAAAAACAGACUGGGUUGGGAUCCAUUGGAAAGGGGGGGCUAUGUGCCACCCUAUCCAACAAGAUGGAAACAACUGUGGAGUCAUUGUAGUCAAAAUGGCAAAAGCAUUGAUGGAAGCAUUUCCUCUGCUGCCAGAUGUUAAGUUUGACACAAGUAAGAAGGCAAUGAAAGGCGAAAGAAAAGCACUGGCUCUUCAAAUCCUUGAUGCAUCAGUGUUUGAUGACAACACCUGUUGCUCAAUGUGUGCUGGUAGCAAACCCCCUGUGUCUGGGCCCCACAUCACCGACUGGAUCCAGUGUGACGACUGUGAUCGAUGGUUCCAUGCCAUAUGCUUAAAUAUGACGAAGAAAGACUUUGAUACAACCAAGAAGGGAUGCUGGAAAUGCCCAUUGUGCAAUUAAAAGAUCCAGUGAUAUGACAGUGAUCGAUGGUUGUGGCUUGUGCUUGAACAAGAAAAAGGAAGACUUUGAUUAAACCAAGAAGGGCAGCUGGAAAUGCUCAUUGUGUUACUAAAUGGCAAAUAAUCCUCUAAUAAAUGUUGACAGUUUAUUUUGAAAAUGGUGCUGCAACUUGUUUUGUUUCGCAUGAGAUCGAUUAAAGAUUUAUCCUAUAUUAAUAUUACAGAAUUACAACAAAAACAGAAAUAAAAUUUCAGUAACUAGGAUAAAAAUGAGUGUGCCUCAUCUGUGGAGACUAGGAGAACAGUUUAAGAUGGAUUUUGUGUCAAUGGGUCACAUGACCUGGAAGCUAUUGAAGGAUAAUCAGAAAUUCUGGAUAAGAAAAAUGGCUAAAAACACGUCAAAAAAAUACAGCAAAAUCACUCAAAAAUCUGGUAAUUUAGCAGAUUCAUUUAAUUUUGUUGCAUGAUAUUUCAUUGAUUUUGUGAGAGUUGGUAACAAGAGAGGACAGCUAUAAGUUUUGUUUCUGAAGAGUGAUGGUUCAAAAUUUAUUGACAGUCCCUAAGUCAACAACCACAGCGCGAAUAUCCAAUAUCCAACUUGAAACUAACUUCACCGCAGUCUGCUGA